UACGUACUGUGCGAACGUUAUUCGGAAUCACUGGGCUUAAAGGGUGCGUAGGCGGCCCAUUAAGUAGGGUGUGAAAGGCUUCGGCUCAACCGGAGCAUUGCGCUCUAGACUGAUUGGCUCGAGUGAGAUAGGGGUGUGCGGAGCUUCCAGUGGAGCGGUGAAAUGUGUUGAUAUUGGAAGGAACGCCGGUGGCGAAAGCGGCACACUGGGUCUUAACUGACGCUGAGGCACGAAAGCCAGGGGAGCGAACGGG
This 253-nucleotide ribosomal RNA is filed under the name uncultured bacterium. RNAcentral describes it as "partial 16S ribosomal RNA". It matches the Rfam family "Bacterial small subunit ribosomal RNA", at positions 524 to 776 of the family's 1533-position model. The record is from RNAcentral.